This 253-nucleotide ribosomal RNA is filed under the name uncultured bacterium. RNAcentral's name for it is "partial 16S ribosomal RNA". It matches the Rfam family "Bacterial small subunit ribosomal RNA", at positions 524 to 776 of the family's 1533-position model. The record is from RNAcentral.
UACGUAGGGUGCAAGCGUUGUCCGGAAUUAUUGGGCGUAAAGAGCUCGUAGGCGGUCUGUCGCGUCUGCUGUGAAAACUCAGGGCUUAACCCUGAGCUUGCAGUGGGUACGGGCAGACUAGAGUGCGGUAGGGGAGACUGGAAUUCCUGGUGUAGCGGUGAAAUGCGCAGAUAUCUGGAGGAACACCGGUGGCGAAGGCGGCAUCCUGGACCAAUUCUGACGCUGAGGAGCGAAAGCCAGGGGAGCAAACGGG